RNAcentral lists this ribosomal RNA (253 nucleotides) under uncultured bacterium. RNAcentral describes it as "partial 16S ribosomal RNA". It matches the Rfam family "Bacterial small subunit ribosomal RNA", at positions 524 to 776 of the family's 1533-position model. The record is from RNAcentral.
AACGUAUGAGACAAACGUUAUCCGGAGUUACUGGGCGUAAAGGGCGUGUAGGCGGUUAGUUAAGUCUGGCGUGAAAGCUCUCGGCUAAACCGGGAGAGGUCGUUGGAUACUGGCUGACUAGAGGACGGUAGAGGCGUGUGGAAUUCCGGGUGUAGUGGUGAAAUGCGUAGAGAUCCGGAGGAACACCAGUGGCGAAGGCGACCACCUGGACUGAUACUGACACUGAGGUGCGAAAGCGUGGGGAGCAAACAGG